Molecule: ribosomal RNA, 812 nt
Filed under: uncultured bacterium
Lineage: Bacteria
Description: bacterial SSU rRNA
Rfam family: Bacterial small subunit ribosomal RNA
Source: RNAcentral
GACGAACGCUGGCGGCGUGCUUAACACAUGCAAGUCGAACGAUGAAGUUCCUUCGGGGAUGGAUUAGUGGCGAACGGGUGAGGAACACGUGAAGAAUCUGCCCUCCACUUUGGGGUAACUCCGGGAAACCGGGGCUAAUACCGAAUAUUGAAACAUAAGUGGCAUCACUGAGUUUUGAAAGAAUUUCGGUGGAGGAUGACUUCGCGGCCUAUCAGCUUGUUGGUGAGGUAAUGGCUCACCAAGGCGACGACGGGUAGCCGGCCUGAGAGGGCGACCGGCCACACUGGGACUGAGACACGGCCCAGACUCCUACGGGAGGCAGCAGUGGGGAAUAUUGGGCAAUGGACGAAAGUCUGACCCAGCGACGCCGCGUGCGGGAUGAAGGCCUUCGGGUUGUAAACCGCUUUCAGCAGGGAAGAAGCGAAAGUGACGGUACCUGCAAAAGAAGCACCGGCUAACUAUGUGCCAGCAGCCGCGGUAAUACAUAGGGUGCAAGCGUUGUCCGGAAUUAUUGGGCGUAAAGAGCUCGUAGGUCGUUAAUUACGUCGGGUGUGAAAAUCUGGGGCUCAACCCCAGACCUGCACUCGAUACGGGUUAGCUAGAGUUUGGUAGGGGAGACUGGAAUUCCUGGUGUAGCGGUGGAAUGCGCAGAUAUCAGGAGGAACACCAAUGGCGAAGGCAGGUCUCUGGGCCAAUACUGACACUGAGGAGCGAAAGCGCGGGGAGCGAACAGGAUUAGAUACCCUGGUAGUCCGCGCCGUAAACGGUGGGCGCUAGUUGUGGGAACCUUCCACGGUUUCUGCGACGCAGCU